Molecule: ribosomal RNA, 82 nt
Filed under: Pleurostemma perplicata yunquensis
Lineage: Eukaryota; Metazoa; Mollusca; Gastropoda; Stylommatophora; Urocoptidae
Description: partial 28S ribosomal RNA
Rfam family: Eukaryotic large subunit ribosomal RNA
Source: RNAcentral
UCCGACCUCAGAUCGGACGAGAUUACCCGCUGAAUUUAAGCAUAUAACUAAGCGAAGGAAAAGAAACUAACAAGGAUUCCCA